AGUGAACGCUGGCGGUAGGCCUAACACAUGCAAGUCGAACGGCAGCACAGUAAGAGCUUGCUCUUACGGGUGGCGAGUGGCGGACGGGUGAGGAAUACAUCGGAAUCUACUUUUUCGUGGGGGAUAACGUAGGGAAACUUACGCUAAUACCGCAUACGACCUACGGGUGAAAGCAUGGGAUCUUCGGACCUUGCGCGAUUGAAUGAGCCGAUGUCGGAUUAGCUAGUUGGCGGGGUAAAGGCCCACCAAGGCGACGAUCCGUAGCUGGUCUGAGAGGAUGAUCAGCCACACUGGAACUGGGACACGGUCCAGACUCCUACGGGAGGCAGCAGUGGGGAAUAUUGGACAAUGGGCGAAAGCCUGAUCCAGCCAUACCGCGUGGGUGAAGAAGGCCUUCGGGUUGUAAAGCCCUUUUGUUGGGAAAGAAAAGCAGCAGGUUAAUACCCCGCUGUUCUGACGGUACCCAAAGAAUAAGCACCGGCUAACUUCGUG
This 492-nucleotide ribosomal RNA is filed under the name uncultured bacterium. RNAcentral's name for it is "partial 16S ribosomal RNA". It matches the Rfam family "Bacterial small subunit ribosomal RNA", at positions 29 to 507 of the family's 1533-position model. The record is from RNAcentral.